Cucumis melo (muskmelon) is the source of this 398-nucleotide long non-coding RNA. RefSeq lists it as uncharacterized. The transcript is spliced from 2 exons. The record is from RefSeq and is a predicted model, not a curated record. Lineage: Eukaryota; Viridiplantae; Streptophyta; Magnoliopsida; Cucurbitales; Cucurbitaceae.
UUGCCAACAAGGGAAUAUAGGUACCUUUGCUUAUGGACCCCUAUGAAAGAAAACAAAUAUCCCCUUUUGAUAUGUGUAUGAACUAAAAUCUGCAAUUUAGUAAGAAAAGCAAACGAUAUUGCCGUCCUAUAUGCAUUGUAGGUUGAAUUUGCUGGGGGUGCUUUGAGAUGUGGCGAGUAUGUCACCCUACGCAAGGGUACAAAUGCAAGUCAAAAGGGUGGUGGUUCUGGUACACAACAAGUUGUCAUUGAAGGGCCCUUAUGUGAGGAUUAUUAUAAAAUUCAGGAUCUAUUGUAUUCACAAUUUUAUUUGUUAUAAUUGAGAAACCUCGUUGAACAUGGAAGAUAUGACCCCAUCAAUUUGAAUUGCCUAGUUGGAAAUGUAUUGAUUUUUUUCUC